AUGCUAGUCUUAAUCCAUCACAAGACACUGGAUCCAUGGGCGCCCAUGUUGGCAGAGCAGCCACGGGCACUUGCACGCCUCCCCUGGGGAUGGGGCUGGCUGUUGAUGGGGAGAUGUGCCUAUGGGGCUGUGUGUGCCCUGCCCCACACAGAUGUGUUCAGGGUUGUUCCAGGACACGAGAUCAACAUACGGCUCAGUCUGGGCAGUACCGGGCAUGCUGCAGACACUAAGCCUGUCCUUUUCUCCUGCCAGGCAGUGCAGAUAGCUCCCCGGCAAAGCCAUCACCCCCAGCUCCCCAUGCCCGGCUCCCGCACGCCCUCCCCACAGGCACGGCGCUGGCAGUGGCGGCCGUCGGCCUCGUCCUCCUGGCUGCAGGCAACUGGUCUGCCAUCAGGAAAGGUGAGGGAGUGGGGGAAGGCGGGGGGAAAGGCUGAGGCCGUGGGGGUCCUGCUGCGGGGCUGGUGCAGGGGGAAAGGCGGUGGGGGGG
Molecule: long non-coding RNA, 487 nt
Filed under: Anser cygnoides (Swan goose)
Lineage: Eukaryota; Metazoa; Chordata; Aves; Anseriformes; Anatidae
Description: lncRNA (ENSACDG00005007004.1)
Source: RNAcentral